UUAUAAUGGUAUAAGAUGAUGAACUAAUGAGAAUUGAGUUUACUAGUUUUGAAUGGAGCAUAUUAAUAGCAACACCUCUUUGGUUCAUUGUUACUUGACACUAUCAUUGUAAAUUGUCUAUGCAUAUUCACCCCAUUCUGCAGCUCAAAUUCCUUGGCACACAACAAAGUGAUUCAAAGUUACUCACAACCACCUUAUAAAGUGAAUUCUCUUCAAUUCACAUGUAAUAUGAUUUAUAAACAACGACCAGCUUGGUCAUAUGUACAAAAAUUAAACUAUCAAACCAAGU
This 289-nucleotide long non-coding RNA is filed under the name Trifolium pratense (red clover). RNAcentral describes it as "long non-coding RNA (TPRA_LNC012879)". Lineage: Eukaryota; Viridiplantae; Streptophyta; Magnoliopsida; Fabales; Fabaceae. The record is from RNAcentral.